Molecule: ribosomal RNA, 238 nt
Filed under: uncultured bacterium
Lineage: Bacteria
Description: partial 16S ribosomal RNA
Rfam family: Bacterial small subunit ribosomal RNA
Source: RNAcentral
UGGGCAACCUGCCGUAUACAGGGGAAUAAUCAUUGGAAACGAUGACUAAUACCGCAUGUCACCAUUGGGAGGCAUCUCGCGAUGGGAAAAGGAGGAAUCCGGUAUACGAUGGGCCCGCAUCUGAUUAGCUAGUUGGUGAGAUAAUAGCUCACCAAGGCGACGAUCAGUAGCCGGCCUGAGAGGGUGAACGGCCACAUUGGGACUGAGACACGGCCCAAACUCCUACGGGAGGCAGCAG